GCCCCUGUAGCUCAGCAGGAUAGAGCAUCCGCCUCCUAAGCGGAAGGUCGUGCGUUCGAAUCGCGCCAGGGGCGCCA
This 77-nucleotide transfer RNA is filed under the name Sedimenticola sp. RNAcentral describes it as "tRNA-Arg". It matches the Rfam family "tRNA". Rfam says of the family: Transfer RNA (tRNA) molecules are approximately 80 nucleotides in length. Their secondary structure includes four short double-helical elements and three loops (D, anti-codon, and T loops). Further hydrogen bonds mediate the characteristic L-shaped molecular structure. tRNAs have two regions of fundamental functional importance: the anti-codon, which is responsible for specific mRNA codon recognition, and the 3' end, to which the tRNAs corresponding amino acid is attached (by aminoacyl-tRNA synthetases). tRNAs cope with the degeneracy of the genetic code in two manners: having more than one tRNA (with a specific anti-codon) for a particular amino acid; and 'wobble' base-pairing, i.e. permitting non-standard base-pairing at the 3rd anti-codon position. The record is from RNAcentral. RNAcentral also lists the same sequence under 2 other names. Lineage: Bacteria; Pseudomonadati; Pseudomonadota; Gammaproteobacteria; Chromatiales; Sedimenticolaceae.